RNAcentral lists this ribosomal RNA (700 nucleotides) under uncultured bacterium. RNAcentral describes it as "bacterial SSU rRNA". It matches the Rfam family "Bacterial small subunit ribosomal RNA", at positions 42 to 737 of the family's 1533-position model. The record is from RNAcentral.
UCAGGCCUAACACAUGCAAGUCGAGGGGUAACAGGGAGUACUUGUACUUUGCUGACGACCGGCGCACGGGUGCGUAACGCGUAUACAAUCUGCCUUACACUGGGGGAUAGCCUUUAGAAAUGAAGAUUAAUACCCCAUGGUAUGUGCUUGUGGCAUCACAGACACAUUAAAGGUUACGGUGUAAGAUGAGUAUGCGUCCUAUUAGAUAGUUGGUGAGGUAACGGCUCACCAAGUCGACGAUAGGUAGGGGCCCUGAGAGGGGGAUCCCCCACACUGGUACUGAGACACGGACCAGACUCCUACGGGAGGCAGCAGUGAGGAAUAUUGGACAAUGGAGGCAACUCUGAUCCAGCCAUGCCGCGUGCAGGAAGACUGCCCUAUGGGUUGUAAACUGCUUUUAUACGGGAAGAAACACUCCCUCGUGAGGGAGCUUGACGGUACCGUAAGAAUAAGCACCGGCUAACUCCGUGCCAGCAGCCGCGGUAAUACGGAGGGUGCAAGCGUUAUCCGGAAUCAUUGGGUUUAAAGGGUCCGUAGGCGGACAAUUAAGUCAGAGGUGAAAGUCUGCAGCUCAACUGUAGAAUUGCCUUUGAUACUGGUUGUCUUGAAUUAUUGUGAAGUGGUUAGAAUAUGUAGUGUAGCGGUGAAAUGCAUAGAUAUUACUUAGAAUACCAAUUGCGAAGGCAGAUCACUAACAAUA